CACGUAGGGGGCGAGCGUUUGUCCGGAUUUAUUGGGCGUAAAGAGCUCGUAGGCGGUUCGCUAAGUCGGGUGUGAAACCUCCAGGCUCAACCUGGAGACGCCACCUGAUACUGGCGUGACUAGAGUCCGGUAGGGGAGUGUGGAACUCCUGGUGUAGCGGUGAAAUGCGCAGAUAUCAGGAAGAACACCAGCGGCGAAGGCGGCACUCUGGGCCGGUACUGACGCUGAGGAGCGAAAGCGUGGGUAGCAAACAGG
This 255-nucleotide ribosomal RNA is filed under the name uncultured bacterium. RNAcentral describes it as "partial 16S ribosomal RNA". It matches the Rfam family "Bacterial small subunit ribosomal RNA", at positions 524 to 776 of the family's 1533-position model. The record is from RNAcentral.